This 77-nucleotide transfer RNA is filed under the name Shewanella piezotolerans WP3. RNAcentral's name for it is "tRNA-Asp". The record is from RNAcentral. Lineage: Bacteria; Pseudomonadati; Pseudomonadota; Gammaproteobacteria; Alteromonadales; Shewanellaceae.
AUCAUUAAUGGCGACGGAAUUGUAACAGAUGCAAAUCCCGUUGCGACGGAGCUGCUAGGGGGGCCGUUAGAAGGACU